GGCUAUACAAGCUUUAGAUAAGCAUAUAUUUUGAAAAUAUAAGAUAAUGGUUAAAUUCCAUUAAUAGCUU
Molecule: transfer RNA, 70 nt
Filed under: unidentified
Description: Capodemus sinuatus tRNA-Ser
Rfam family: tRNA
About the family: Transfer RNA (tRNA) molecules are approximately 80 nucleotides in length. Their secondary structure includes four short double-helical elements and three loops (D, anti-codon, and T loops).
Source: RNAcentral